GGGACUUUAACAUGUGUUGUGACGUUACUCAGUAUCACAACGUAUCUAGACACGUUUCUACAAGUUAUUUGCUUGACUUUGGAUGAUAUUAAACGUACAGAGAAUUCAUGGCAACGAAAACAGAAACUUAUACUCGCCUACAGACAGCAAAUCUAUAUGUUCUCUUAUAAGGUAACUUAUAUAUCAUCUACUUUUUAUCUCUUGUAGGAUAUGGGUGAUUGUAAGUGAAAUGUUCAAAUGGUCUCUGUUGUUACACACAUUCAUAGCUGGAGUUACACUGGCUUUUUGUGUAAUAACAACGUUAAUUAAAUUUGAUGUUAAUACAUUUGGUAUUUCUAUUUGUUACCUUUUUGGGACUCUUAUUACUGGUGCGAUUGGUGAAAAAGUUGUUAAAUUUGGUGAAGAUUUACGACAUACGACUUUUUAUGCAUGUCCAUGGGAUGGGGACGUUGUAACUGUCAGAUUUCUUAUGAUAAUGAAUAUUAAUUCCACAAAUAGAUUUGUAUUGCCAAUGGGUAACUACUAUAGUGUCUUUUCAAAUGAAUUUGUACUUUCUGUGUUUAAGUUUACUUAUUCUGUUGUAAUGUUGUAUAUCAAUAGUCGAUAGAAUACUUAUACAAAAAA
Dalotia coriaria is the source of this 624-nucleotide long non-coding RNA. RefSeq lists it as uncharacterized. The transcript is spliced from 4 exons. NCBI's taxonomy places the organism in Eukaryota, Metazoa, Arthropoda, Insecta, Coleoptera, Staphylinidae. The record is from RefSeq and is a predicted model, not a curated record.